RNAcentral lists this ribosomal RNA (1278 nucleotides) under Thermistis croceocincta. RNAcentral describes it as "16S ribosomal RNA". The stretch from base 1039 to 1196 matches the Rfam family "Archaeal large subunit ribosomal RNA", at positions 2542 to 2701 of the family's 2987-position model. The record is from RNAcentral. Lineage: Eukaryota; Metazoa; Arthropoda; Insecta; Coleoptera; Cerambycidae.
AAAAGGGGAUUAUAAGAAAAAUUAAAAUUUAUGAUUAAUUGAAAAAAAUAAUUUUUUUUUAGUAGUGAGAAAGGAAAGAUUUGGGUAAAUUAUAGUGUAUUAGUAUUGUGAAAGAAAUUUUUUAUUGGGGAAAAAGAAAAAUUUUGUUUUGUACCUUGUGUAUCAGGGUUAAUUAAAUUUUUUAGAGAAAUUAAUUUUCUCGAAUUUAAAAGAGUUAAUUUUUUAUUAAUUUAUUGUUGAAUAAAUAUUUAUAAUAAGGAGUUAGUAAUGAAAUGUUAUUCGUUUUUAAUAUAUCUAGUUAUUAAAGAAAAAAGUUUAAUUUGUUUAUUAAAAUAGGUUAAUUUUGAGUUUUUAAUUUAAUUUUUUUAAUAGGUUAUUUUUUAGGGGAUUAGCUUUUUAAGAAAGUAUUAAAAAUUUAUAUAUUAGGGAAAAAAUUAUAGGGUUAGAAGUGCUUAUUUGUAGAAUAAUGUUAUAAUUAAUUUUUUUGAAAAUUUUAUUUUUAUGAAUUUUAAAUAGUUUAUUUAAUUAGUUAUUAAAAUUAGUAAAAUUAAGAAAUAAUGAUUAAAUUAGUAAUAAUUAUUGUAUAGUUAAUAAAAAUUAAAGGUAAUUUUAAGGAAUUCGGCAAUUAUUUUUUUCACCUGUUUAUUAAAAACAUGGCUUUUUGUUUAUAAUUUAAGGUCUAACCUGCCCACUGAGUAGUUAAAUGGCUGCGGUAUCCUGACCGUGCUAAGGUAGCAUAAUCAUUAGUUUUUUAAUUGAAAGCUGGUAUGAAUGGUUGAAUGAGAAAAAAACUGUCUCAAAAUUAAUUUUUAUGAAUUUUAUUUUUAAGUAAAAAAGCUUAAAUUUCUUUAAAAGACGAGAAGACCCUAUAGAGUUUUAUUUAUUUAUUAAUUUAAAGAUUUAGUAUUUUUGAUAUGAAUUAAUAAAUAUAUUUGGUUGGGGUGAUUAAAAAAUUUAAUAAACUUUUUUAUUAUUGAAACAUUGAUUUAUGAAUAUUUGAUCCAUAUUUAUGUGAUUAAUAGAAAAAAUUACCUUAGGGAUAACAGCGUAAUUUUUUUUGAGAGUUCUUAUCGAAAGAAAAGAUUGCGACCUCGAUGUUGGAUUAAAAUUAAUUUUUGGUGAAGAAGCUAAAAUAUUAGGUCUGUUCGACCUUUAAAAUUUUACAUGAUCUGAUUUAAACCGGUGUAAGCCAGGUUGGUUUUUAUCUUUAAUAAAUUAAUAUGUUUUAGUACGAAAGGACCAAAUUUAUAAUAUAAUAUUUUUUAUAAGAAUAUAAUU